This 612-nucleotide ribosomal RNA is filed under the name uncultured bacterium. RNAcentral's name for it is "bacterial SSU rRNA". The stretch from base 1 to 516 matches the Rfam family "Bacterial small subunit ribosomal RNA", at positions 338 to 873 of the family's 1533-position model. The record is from RNAcentral.
CCUACGGGAGGCAGCAGUGGGGAAUAUUGGACAAUGGGCGAAAGCCUGAUCCAGCAAUGCCGCGUGAGUGAUGAAGGCCUUAGGGUUGUAAAGCUCUUUUACCAGGGAUGAUAAUGACAGUACCUGGAGAAUAAGCUCCGGCUAACUCCGUGCCAGCAGCCGCGGUAAUACGGAGGGAGCUAGCGUUGUUCGGAAUUACUGGGCGUAAAGCGUACGUAGGCGGUUAUUCAAGUCAGAGGUGAAAGCCUGGAGCUCAACUCCAGAACUGCCUUUGAAACUAGAUAGCUAGAAUCUUGGAGAGGUGAGUGGAAUUCCGAGUGUAGAGGUGAAAUUCGUAGAUAUUCGGAAGAACACCAGUGGCGAAGGCGACUCACUGGACAAGUAUUGACGCUGAGGUACGAAAGCGUGGGGAGCAAACAGGAUUAGAUACCCUGGUAGUCCACGCCGUAAACGAUGAUAACUAGCUGUUCGGGCUCUACGAGCUUGAGUGGCGCNGCUACGCAUAAGUUAUCCGUCCGUCGGGAGGUACGGUCGCGAAGAAUUAAAACGUUAAAACGGUAAAGUUAGUACGGCGUGAGACGUCGCCGACGGACGACGACGAGGGAGGUUAGG